Molecule: ribosomal RNA, 1298 nt
Filed under: metagenome
Description: bacterial SSU rRNA
Rfam family: Bacterial small subunit ribosomal RNA
Source: RNAcentral
UGAGUAACAUAUCGGAACGUACCCUGUCGUGGGGGAUAACACAGCGAAAGCUGUGCUAAUACCGCAUACGACCUGAGGGUGAAAGCGGGGGAUCGCAAGACCUCGCGCGAUAGGAGCGGCCGAUAUCGGAUUAGCUUGUUGGUGAGGUAAAGGCUCACCAAGGCGACGAUCCGUAGCUGGUCUGAGAGGACGACCAGCCACACUGGAACUGAGACACGGUCCAGACUCCUACGGGAGGCAGCAGUGGGGAAUUUUGGACAAUGGGGGCAACCCUGAUCCAGCCAUUCCGCGUGAGUGAAGAAGGCCUUCGGGUUGUAAAGCUCUUUCAGCAGGAACGAAACGGUGGCCCCUAAUACGGGCUACUAAUGACGGUACCUGAAGAAGAAGCACCGGCUAACUACGUGCCAGCAGCCGCGGUAAUACGUAGGGUGCGAGCGUUAAUCGGAAUUACUGGGCGUAAAGCGUGCGCAGGCGGUUAUGUAAGACAGGUGUGAAAUCCCCGGGCUUAACCUGGGAACUGCGCUUGUGACUGCAUAACUCGAGUGUGGCAGAGGGGGGUGGAAUUCCACGUGUAGCAGUGAAGUGCGUAGAGAUGUGGAGGAACACCGAUGGCGAAGGCAGCCCCCUGGGUCAACACUGACGCUCAUGCACGAAAGCGUGGGGAGCAAACAGGAUUAGAUACCCUGGUAGUCCACGCCCUAAACGAUGCGAACUAGGUGUUGGGGAAGGAGACUUUCUUAGUACCGCAGCUAACGCGUGAAGUUCGCCGCCUGGGGAGUACGGUCGCAAGAUUAAAACUCAAAGGAAUUGACGGGGACCCGCACAAGCGGUGGAUGAUGUGGAUUAAUUCGAUGCAACGCGAAAAACCUUACCUACCCUUGACAUGUCAGGAAGUCUGCUGAGAGGUGGAUGUGCCCGAAAGGGAACCUGAACACAGGUGCUGCAUGGCUGUCGUCAGCUCGUGUCGUGAGAUGUUGGGUUAAGUCCCGCAACGAGCGCAACCCUUGUCAUUAAUUGCCAUCAUUCAGUUGGGCACUUUAAUGAGACUGCCGGUGACAAACCGGAGGAGGGUGGGGAUGACGUCAAGUCCUCAUGGCCCUUAUGGGUAGGGCUUCACACGUCAUACAAUGGUCGGUACAGAGGGUCGCCAACCCGCGAGGGGGAGCCAAUCCCACAAAGCCGAUCGUAGUCCGGAUCGCAGUCUGCAACUCGACUGCGUGAAGUCGGAAUCGCUAGUAAUCGUGGAUCAGCAUGUCACGGUGAAUACGUUCCCGGGUCUUGUACACACCGCCCGUCAC